GAUGAACGCUGGCGGCGUGCCUAAUACAUGCAAGUCGAGCGAACAGACGAGGAGCUUGCUCCUCUGACGUUAGCGGCGGACGGGUGAGUAACACGUGGAUAACCUACCUAUAAGACUGGGAUAACUUCGGGAAACCGGAGCUAAUACCGGAUAAUAUAUUGAACCGCAUGGUUCAAUAGUGAAAGACGGUUUUGCUGUCACUUAUAGAUGGAUCCGCGCCGCAUUAGCUAGUUGGUAAGGUAACGGCUUACCAAGGCGACGAUGCGUAGCCGACCUGAGAGGGUGAUCGGCCACACUGGAACUGAGACACGGUCCGGACUCCUACGGGAGGCAGCAGUAGGGAAUCUUCCGCAAUGGGCGAAAGCCUGACGGAGCAACGCCGCGUGGGUGAUGAAGGUCUUCGGAUCGUAAACCUCUGUUAUUAGGGAAGAACAAAUGUGUAAGUAACUAUGCACGUCUUGACGGUACCUAAUCAGAAAGCCACGGCUAACUACGUG
This 497-nucleotide ribosomal RNA is filed under the name uncultured bacterium. Its description in RNAcentral is "partial 16S ribosomal RNA". It matches the Rfam family "Bacterial small subunit ribosomal RNA", at positions 28 to 507 of the family's 1533-position model. The record is from RNAcentral.